This 623-nucleotide long non-coding RNA is filed under the name Chrysolophus pictus (golden pheasant). Its description in RNAcentral is "lncRNA (ENSCPIG00010009015.1)". Lineage: Eukaryota; Metazoa; Chordata; Aves; Galliformes; Phasianidae. The record is from RNAcentral.
CAAAUCUUGAGAUAAUCUUGCUGAAUGAUGAACCUUGUCAGCAUUCAAUAAUGCAACGGGUUUUUUCUGUUUUUUUUUUUUUUUUACACAGUCUGUUUACUAGCUUUUCCUAAUUUCUGUGCAAGAAAAAGACAGUGUGCUUGCAGAAAUCAAGAUAAUGAACACAAGUCUAAACCACAUGGAUUUAUGGAGGACAAAAGCUUUGCUAACUACUUCACAAACAAUUGUUUCUUGACUGUCCUGGGGAGCUAUACAGCCUUCAGUGAGGAACAGGGAACUGAAACUGCUUGUGGAAUUUUUCAACUGGUGAAUACCUGCUGCUGCAGAGAGGAUCUCAAAUGUACACCACUCACAAAUCAGGAUAAAAUCAAACAGGAUUCUGGAGAUGCCGUGCUCUACUAUUCUACAGUGCUUCAUAAAACUAUGUGAGAUGUGCCCAUGCUGAUUCACCUGGUCUGCAGUUAGCAUCUAUCAACAAACUGCUACCUGCACCUUCAUCUGGAGGGAAUCCAGAGCAAGGAAAUCACAAGGAAAUACUUAGAGGUAAGAGUGCUUAGAUUUUUGUCAUUCAUUCUCUCCUCUAGUGAUAAAAUGCGCAGAUGAAUCUGUGCAAUUGUGUGGAC